This is a long non-coding RNA of Ailuropoda melanoleuca (giant panda), 3233 nucleotides long. RefSeq lists it as uncharacterized. The transcript is spliced from 3 exons. Lineage: Eukaryota; Metazoa; Chordata; Mammalia; Carnivora; Ursidae. The record is from RefSeq and is a predicted model, not a curated record.
UCGGUGAAGAUACAUCUCGAACAACGAAUGCAUCAAUCUGAAUCUUCUCGUGGGAUUGAAGGCAAAGUUCUCCUCUGGGAGCCCUUCAGUCUUCAUCUGGUAAUGAGCAUGAACUGGGAGACAUUGCCACAAAAAGAACAACAAAUUUGGUGGAUUUAAAUGGACUCUCACAGGUCUAGAUUCUUCGAACAGGAUGGAAUUCUGACACGUUAGGAUGCUCCCCACAUGCUUGAAGUGUUCUCACAGCAAGAAGCAUCCUGGUCAGCACCACUCAUCCCCAACUGUUCUAGUCUCUCCUUCCCCAACCUCUGCAACGUUUAUUCCACGUUUCUGCACGUAUCAGAUGCCUCAGUUUGACUGUGCUUCUGCCGCGUGACUGUUCUUGGGAUGUAGGACACGCCUCAUGUGCUAAGAAUGCGUCCAAUGCGUUUCCCCCAUCGAGGACACUACAGGCUCCUGGGGGGCUUGGCUGUGCUGACUCUCCCUGUUCACCGUCACUGCCCAGUCCCAGUCGACGCUGGUCAAGAAGCCAGGAAUUCCCAAGCUUUCCCAGGCAAGUGUGGAGAAACACCAGGACGCCUUUUUCUUCUGCCCCAUCCAUCUGCAGCCAAGUGUGCAUCGGUCAAAGGCAAACUCUGAAUCGGGCUUUGUGCAAGCCUCUGGAAAGAUCCCCAAGAUCGUGUGACGGGGGGGGAAGGGGACAGUGGUGGCGGUGGUGGCGACAUCUGCAGAGCCAGCCCCAUCCCUAUCUGCCGCAGGAUGCGUGUGGGCAUGCUUUGUGAGAACAAUCCACGCCGGGCAGAAUGGGGCUUUUGACAUCAGCGGAGGCCUGGGCUGCCUGACAAUGAGGUCCGUUGGUCAAAGGGAGACUGUUUAAUGAACUGCGCACCAGCGGCCGUCUGCACUGAGGAUCUUUGGAGCGAGUCUUGGCUGUAACUGGCCACAUGUGCGAAAGUGCCUUGCCUUGCACGGAAAGCAACGGCAACAACAAAUUCAUAUUUCAAAAUCGGGAACUUUGGGAUGCUUUUUGUCGGGUGGGAUGAAAAGCUGGAUACGAGCUCGAUCCUAAGACUUGCUUAGCAAGGGAAGCCUGAGAAAGUAGCUUGCUUUGGGCUCUGAGAUCAAUAAUGAGAGUGGCUUUUUCCUUAACGCUGGGGAGCAAUGUCCUGUCAAGGAUAUGCGAACACUUGGUGAACAUGAAAUUCGUGAAAGCCCUGAAUCAUCAAGACAGGAAGGCAGGCGAUCACGAUUGUCCCCACAUGGCAGGGGAAACACUGAGGCUCAGGGAACAGUGACUCACGACCAAGGUCGAGUGGCAGGUGGGAGGUGGGGCUGGCUGACAUCUCAUUGUGUCCUCCAGCCUCUGGCACUGAGGAAGGCCAUGCGAGGCUCGCACCGACUUUUCCUGGCAGGCUCGCUCUUCCCAGCCGGAAUGCAGGUGGCAAUGUUGUGAUUCCUGGCGUAACCUUCAACGCUUCAAUGAUAAUCUCUGUCGGCGCCAGACACCCGCUGAGUGUCACAGCGUAACUCCCGGGCUUAGGCGAUGCAUGCCGAGGUUUUCGUAGCGGCUUCUCAUUUAUUAGUUGUGUUGGAAAGAAAUCUCUAAUACCUAACUGGGUACCUCUGGAUUUUAACAGCUGUGGUUUAUAAGAGAUAUGGGAGGGGGAUUGUUUUCAAAGUGCCUUUCAGAAAGUAUCACCUUAGAUGGGAGUUUCCACCCUGUUCUAGUAGAAUGACUCGCAACAGUCCUAUGCUCAGGAAACCUAGCCUGCAAGAAAAAUCAGAUAUCUUCUUACAGCUCAGUUUAGCAAGUACAUCACUCUGCCUUCAGCUCCCCUUUAUUGGCAAUAAACUUAAUGGAAGGCUUUGAUGUCAAAUGCUGAGUAUUUUGGAAGAUGUCCCUUCCACACAGAUGAGACUGCUUGGCCAGGGGCUGGAGAGUCACAAUUGGAUUGGACUCAAAGGUCCCUCUUAGUCUGAGAUGUUGUGACUCUGGAGCUAAUUAGUCUCAACUCCUAAAAUGAAAUGAUCCUAACUACCGUCUGUUGAGCACUUUCUGGGUCGGCUCUGUGCUGAGACCUUAAAAUCAUUCUCUGAAGUCUAACGAAACCCCUGCCAACAUUAUCCCUAUUUUACAAGUGAAGAAUAGGGGGUUAGAGAAGUUAAAAGCUUGUCUGAUGGCACAGAUUUAAGGUUUUGUAAGUGACCCUCCCCUGGAAAUUGAUUCCGGAGGAGUCUAAAUCCAUACUCGAAACCCACAACUCCACCAGAAUGCAAUGUAGACACUUGUACUUGUCUUCCUCACAGAUUAGCCCGUCAUCUCCAGCCUUGGGGUGGCUAGUACUCAUUCUUUAGUCAGAUUCAGUAUCGGAGUUGGGGAGGAAGACCUCACACAGGGGCUAGCAAUGUCCCAGCCCAUGAAGUCUCUUCUGGGCUUACCAGACAGCUGGGGGAUUCCGGUCUUCCUGCCAAUUAGAGAUCAACUAAUUGUCAAAAGUACAAUUGCCCUUGAAGUGAUAACACAUGAACUGUCACCCAUUAACACUAGUGUGGGAAGUUGUGUAGUCUAGCAAACGGCCAGAAGGAAGAAACUCAGGGUCCACAGGUCCAGAUUAAUGACAGUGUGAGCACUAGAUUAGGGGGGCUCUGAGGAUGCCUUUCUCAAUGCCUUGCUUGUAACCUCUGUUCAAAAAAGAUUUGCUGACCUCAAUUCACAGUCCUGUUUUCUACUGGGCUGAAAGCACAAUGCUUACCAGAAAGAACAUUCCAAAUUCUGACCUGUGUGUAGGGAGACCAUAUAUCAUAAUAAAACUACAAUUUAUGCUUAGAGUAUGGUCUGAGAAGUCAGGUUUCAUAUGUAUAUAUUUUUUCCCAGAAAAAGGAAAUAUCUGUAUCUAUAUUAUAUAUAGAGAUCUAUAUCUAUUUCUCUUUCUCUAUCUCCUUUUUGUGGAAAAACUGCCCCUACAAUUCAAUCCCAAGAACACCCUAUUUCUCAACCGGUCUGUGGCUCCUUGUAUUACAAAGUAAUGCCUCCUGUCCUGUCAGUGGGUACAGGCAGAACACAGUCGACACUGACUACUUUUAGCAAUAAACAUUUUGUGACGUCAAAAGUCACCUUUCUUCCACCAGAGGCCCAGAUGUUUUAUCUGAAUAAUCUACCCAUUCUUCUCCUAAAGGAGAUGUUAGCAACAGCAAACCAGCCUACAGCCAUGUGACGGGUGCACAUGCCAUCU